UACGGAGGGGGCAAGCGUUGUUCGGAAUUACUGGGCGUAAAGCGCGCGUAGGCGGCUUUGCAAGCCGGAUGUGAAAUCCCCGGGCUUAACCUGGGAACUGCAUUCGGGACUGCAUUGCUAGAGUAUGGGAGAGGGAAGUGGAAUUUCAGGUGUAGCGGUGAAAUGCGUAGAUAUCCGAAGGAACAUCAGUGGCGAAAGCGACUUCCUGGACCAAUACUGACGCUCAUGUGCGAAAGCGUGGGGAGCAAACAGG
RNAcentral lists this ribosomal RNA (253 nucleotides) under uncultured bacterium. RNAcentral describes it as "partial 16S ribosomal RNA". It matches the Rfam family "Bacterial small subunit ribosomal RNA", at positions 524 to 776 of the family's 1533-position model. The record is from RNAcentral.